UGCUAUACUGCAGUCGAGCGGACAGAAGGGAGCUUGCUCCCGGAUGUUAGCGGCGGACGGGUGAGUAACACGUGGGUAACCUGCCUGUAAGACUGGGAUAACUCCGGGAAACCGGAGCUAAUACCGGAUAGUUCCUUGAACCGCAUGGUUCAAGGAUGAAAGACGGUUUCGGCUGUCACUUACAGAUGGACCCGCGGCGCAUUAGCUAGUUGGUGGGGUAAUGGCUCACCAAGGCGACGAUGCGUAGCCGACCUGAGAGGGUGAUCGGCCACACUGGGACUGAGACACGGCCCAGACUCCUACGGGAGGCAGCAGUAGGGAAUCUUCCGCAAUGGACGAAAGUCUGACGGAGCAACGCCGCGUGAGUGAUGAAGGUUUUCGGAUCGUAAAGCUCUGUUGUUAGGGAAGAACAAGUGCGAGAGUAACUGCUCGCACCUUGACGGUACCUAACCAGAAAGCCACGGCUAACUACGUGCCAGCAGCCGCGGUAAUACGUAGGUGGCAAGCGUUGUCCGGAAUUAUUGGGCGUAAAGGGCUCGCAGGCGGUUUCUUAAGUCUGAUGUGAAAGCCCCCGGCUCAACCGGGGGAGGGUCAUUGGAAACUGGGAAACUUGAGUGCAGAAGAGGAGAGUGGAAUUCCACGUGUAGCGGUGAAAUGCGUAGAGAUGUGGAGGAACACCAGUGGCGAAGGCGACUCUCUGGUCUGUAACUGACGCUGAGGAGCGAAAGCGUGGGGAGCGAACAGGAUUAGAUACCCUGGUAGUCCACGCCGUAAACGAUGAGUGCUAAGUGGUAGGGGGGUUUCCGCCCCUUAGUGCUGCAGCUAACGCAUUAAGCACUCCCGCCUGGGGGAGUACGGGCCGCAAGACUGAAACUUCAAAGGAAUUUGACGGGGGGCCCGCACAAGCCGUGGGAGCAUGKUGGUUUAAUUCCAAAGCACCGCGAAGAAACCUAACCAGGUCUUUGACUUCCUCUGACAACCCUUAAAAAUAGGGGUUUUCCCUUUCGGGGACNGAAUGGAMAGGGGGGUGCAUGGUUGUCCUCAMCUCCGUGUCCUGGRA
Molecule: ribosomal RNA, 1060 nt
Filed under: Bacillus pumilus
Lineage: Bacteria; Bacillati; Bacillota; Bacilli; Caryophanales; Bacillaceae
Description: bacterial SSU rRNA
Rfam family: Bacterial small subunit ribosomal RNA
Source: RNAcentral